GGUUAUGAGAGCCGUGUAAGUACUCAGCGGAGGAGGAGGCGUAAGUAAUUACCUAGUGAUGACGUAACUACAGAAGAAGCACCGGCUAACUCCCGUGCAGCGCCGCGGUAAUACGAAGGGUGCAAGCGUUAAUCCGAAUACUGGGCGGUAAAGCGCACGCAGGGGUCUCAAGUCGGAUGUGAAAUCCCCGGGCUCAACCCUGGGAACUGCAUUCAACUGGCAGGCUAGAGUCUGUAGAGGGGGGUAGAAUUUCAGGUGUAGCGGUGAAAUGCGUAGAGAUCUGGAGGAAUACCUGGCGAAGGCGGCCCCCUGGACAAUGACGCUCAGGUGCGAAAGCGUGGGGAGCAAACAGGAUUAGAUACCCUGGUGUCCACGCCUAAACGAUGUCGACUUGGAGGUUGUGCCCUUGAGGCGUGGCUUCCGGAGCUAACGCGUUAAGUCGACCGCCUGGGGAGUACGGCCGCAAGGUUAAAACUCAAAUGAAUUGACGGGGGCCCGCACAAGCGGUGGAGCAUGUGGUUUUUUGAUGCAACGCGAAGAACCUUACCUACUCUUGACAUCCAGAGAUUAGCAGAGAUGCUUGUGCCUUCGGGAACUCUGAGACAGGUGGCAUGGCUGUCGUCAGCUCGUGUUGUGAAAGUUGGGUUAACCCGCAACGAGCGCAACCCUUAUCCUUUGUUGCCAGCGGUUAGGCCGGGAACUCAAAGGAGACUGCCAGUGAUAAACUGGAGGAAGGUGGGGAUGACGUCAAGUCAUCAUGGCCCUUACGAGUAGGGCUACACACGUGCUACAAUGGCAAUACAAAGAGAAGCGACCUCGCGAGAGCAAGCGGACCUCAUAAAGUAUGUCGUAGUCCGGAUUGGAGUUUGCAACUCGACUCAUGAAGUCGGAAUCGCUAGUAAUCGUAGAUCAGAAUGCUACGGUGAAUACGUUCCCGGGCCUUGUACACACCGCCCGUCACACCAUGGGAGUGGGUUGCAAAAGAAGUACUUAACCUUGGCCGCCUACCACCUUUGU
RNAcentral lists this ribosomal RNA (1017 nucleotides) under Klebsiella aerogenes. RNAcentral's name for it is "bacterial SSU rRNA". It matches the Rfam family "Bacterial small subunit ribosomal RNA", at positions 413 to 1465 of the family's 1533-position model. Lineage: Bacteria; Pseudomonadati; Pseudomonadota; Gammaproteobacteria; Enterobacterales; Enterobacteriaceae. The record is from RNAcentral.